GGUUGGUGUACAGGUGGUGCAUGGCUGUCGUCAGCUCGUGUCGUGAGAUGUUGGGUUAAGUCCCGCAACGAGCGCAACCCUUAUCCUACGUUGCCAGCGCGUUAUGGCGGGGACUCGUGGGAGACUGCCGGGGUCAACUCGGAGGAAGGUGGGGAUGACGUCAAGUCAUCAUGCCCCUUAUGUCCAGGGCUUCACACAUGCUACAAUGGCUGGUACAGAGGGCUGCGAUACCGCGAGGUGGAGCGAAUCCCUUAAAGCCGGUCUCAGUUCGGAUCGCAGUCUGCAACUCGACUGCGUGAAGUCGGAGUCGCUAGUAAUCGCAGAUCAGCAACGCUGCGGUGAAUACGUUCCCGGGCCUUGUACACACCGCCCGUCACGUCAUGAAAGUCGGUAACACCCGAAGCCCAUGG
Molecule: ribosomal RNA, 410 nt
Filed under: Amycolatopsis sp.
Lineage: Bacteria; Bacillati; Actinomycetota; Actinomycetes; Pseudonocardiales; Pseudonocardiaceae
Description: bacterial SSU rRNA
Rfam family: Bacterial small subunit ribosomal RNA
Source: RNAcentral